GACGUAGGGGGCCAGCGUUGUUCGGAAUUACUGGGUGUAAAGGGUUCGUAGGCGGUGCGGCAAGUUGGGAGUGAAAUCUCUGGGCUUAACCCAGAGGCUGCUUCCAAAACUGCUGUGCUUGAGUGUGGGAGAGGCGCGUGGAAUUGCAGGUGUAGCGGUGGAAUGCGCGGAUAUCAGGAGGAACACCGAUGGCGAAGGCAGCUCGCUGGGACGGUACUGACGCUGAGGCGCGAAAGCGUGGGGAGCGAACAGG
RNAcentral lists this ribosomal RNA (253 nucleotides) under uncultured bacterium. RNAcentral's name for it is "partial 16S ribosomal RNA". It matches the Rfam family "Bacterial small subunit ribosomal RNA", at positions 524 to 776 of the family's 1533-position model. The record is from RNAcentral.